Molecule: ribosomal RNA, 305 nt
Filed under: uncultured bacterium
Lineage: Bacteria
Description: bacterial SSU rRNA
Rfam family: Bacterial small subunit ribosomal RNA
Source: RNAcentral
CCUACGGGAGGCAGCAGUGGGGAAUAUUGGGCAAUGGGCGAAAGCCUGACCCAGCAACGCCGCGUGAAGGAAGAAGGCUUUCGGGUUGUAAACUUCUUUUGACAGGGAAGAGCAGAAGACGGUACCUGUCGAAUAAGCCACGGCUAACUACGUGCCAGCAGCCGCGGUAAUACGUAGGUGGCAAGCGUUGUCCGGAUUUACUGGGUGUAAAGGGCGUGUAGCCGGGCUGACAAGUCAGAUGUGAAAUCCGGGGGCUCAACCCCCGAACUGCCGUUGAAACUGGCGGCCUCGAGUGGGCGAGAAGG